GACGAACGCUGGCGGCGUGCUUAACACAUGCAAGUCGUACGGUAAGGCCCUUUCGGGGGUCCACGAGUGGCGCACGGGUGUGUAACACGUGAGUAACCUGCCCACAACUUUGGGAUAACGCUAGGAAACUGGUGCCAAUACUGGCUAUGUGCUCCUGCUGCAUGGUGGGGGUUGGAAAGCUCCGGCGGUUGUGGAUGGACUCGCGGCCUAUCAGCUUGUUGGUGGGGUAGUGGCCUACCAAGGCGGCGACGGGUAGCCGGCCUGAGAGGGUGACCGGCCACAUUGGGACUGAGAGACGGCCCAGACGGCGACGGGAGGCAGAAGUGGGGAAUAUUGCACAAUGGGCGCCAGCCUGAUGCAGCAACGCCGCGGGCGGGAUGACGGCCUUCGGGUGGUAGACCGGUUGCAGCAGGGACGAAGCUUGUUGUGACGGUACCUGCAGAAGAAGCACCGGCUAACUACGUG
RNAcentral lists this ribosomal RNA (465 nucleotides) under uncultured bacterium. Its description in RNAcentral is "partial 16S ribosomal RNA". It matches the Rfam family "Bacterial small subunit ribosomal RNA", at positions 28 to 507 of the family's 1533-position model. The record is from RNAcentral.